AAUCCAUAGGUUAAUGAGGCGAACCGGGGGAACUGAAACAUCUAAGUACCCCGAGGAAAAGAAAUCAACCGAGAUUCCCCCAGUAGCGGCGAGCGAACGGGGAGGAGCCCAGAGCCUGAAUCAGCAUGUGUGUUAGUGGAAGCGUCUGGAAAGGCGCGCGAUACAGGGUGACAGCCCCGUACACAAAAGCGCAUGUGCUGUGAGCUCGAUGAGUAGGGCGGGACACGUGGUAUCCUGUCUGAAUAUGGGGGGACCAUCCUCCAAGGCUAAAUACUCCUGACUGACCGAUAGUGAACCAGUACCGUGAGGGAAAGGCGAAAAGAACCCCGGCGAGGGGAGUGAAAAAGAACCUGAAACCGUGUACGUACAAGCAGUGGGAGCACCCUUUGGGUGUGACUGCGUACCUUUUGUAUAAUGGGUCAGCGACUUAUAUUCUGUAGCAAGGUUAACCGA
This 453-nucleotide ribosomal RNA is filed under the name Salmonella enterica. RNAcentral describes it as "partial 23S ribosomal RNA". It matches the Rfam family "Bacterial large subunit ribosomal RNA", at positions 161 to 653 of the family's 2925-position model. The record is from RNAcentral. RNAcentral also lists the same sequence under 1 other name. Lineage: Bacteria; Pseudomonadati; Pseudomonadota; Gammaproteobacteria; Enterobacterales; Enterobacteriaceae.